RNAcentral lists this long non-coding RNA (721 nucleotides) under Ictidomys tridecemlineatus (thirteen-lined ground squirrel). RNAcentral describes it as "lncRNA (ENSSTOG00000029978.1)". The record is from RNAcentral. Lineage: Eukaryota; Metazoa; Chordata; Mammalia; Rodentia; Sciuridae.
CGCAUUACCCCCCAAACAAACAGCGGAGGUCUGAGAAAGUACAUAGGCCACUUUGUUGCUGAAGCAAGCUGGGGCUGCAGAGCCCCCCAGCUAAAAAUCACAUGUGGCUGGGAGUGUUUUCCAGGGCUGCGGGGCUCUUUCCUUUCUUCCUUCCCCAUUAAACCCCUCUGCUCUUCUUGGCAAGGGCCUUCAGGUGAGAUCUGUGCUCUGUGUAUCCUGAAAUGAUCCAGAAUGGUUGAAAUGGUCGUUUCCCUGCAUCUGGCUAUUUCCAUUUUACAGGUUUAAGCCAUGUCCUUAUGGUCAGCGCUGAUGGAGGAGCAGCAGGCAGAGGAGCAGAGUGAGUUACAUUUAGAAGCAUGCCCAGGGAAUGUCAUGCAAGAGGAGAUGAACUCAAAGCUCCAUGAGACUGCCUUUUCUUCAGAGACCCACAGCACAGCUACUUCCUCAAGAGAAAGAAGCCCAGUGUUUCCUGUGUCAGACCCAUCGCACGGCAAUUUCAUGAAAUACUCUAUGACAAAUGGAAAGCUCUCUGUCAACAAAUUUUGAAUAUGAUGUACAUGCUGUUCUGGGCUAUGGGAAACAUUAGAAUAUCUGAACUUCUUGGCUCUGAAGUCAAGAAAUUACUAACUCCUUUUUUUUUUUUUUUUUUUUUUUUGGAGGGGGAUCCAACCCAGGGCCUCGUGUAUGCUAGACAAGCACUCUACCACUGAGCCACAUCCCC